This 71-nucleotide transfer RNA is filed under the name Oreichthys crenuchoides. RNAcentral's name for it is "tRNA-Tyr". It matches the Rfam family "tRNA". Rfam says of the family: Transfer RNA (tRNA) molecules are approximately 80 nucleotides in length. Their secondary structure includes four short double-helical elements and three loops (D, anti-codon, and T loops). Lineage: Eukaryota; Metazoa; Chordata; Actinopteri; Cypriniformes; Cyprinidae. The record is from RNAcentral.
GGUAGGGUGGCCGAACAUUUAGGUAGUGGAUUGUAGCUCCGAAGAUAGAGGUUUAAAUCCUCUCCUUAUCA